UCUGUGCAGCACAGGGACACCGGCCUGGAUGCAGCGGUGAGCACUGACACCCCCAUAAAGGAGACUCUGUGCAGCACAGGGACACCGGCCUGGGUACAGCAGUGAGCACUGACACCCCCAUAAAGGAGACUCUGUGCAGCACAGGGACACCGGCCUGGAUGCAGCAGUGAGCACUGACGCCCCCAUAAAGGAGACUGUGUGCAGCACAGGGAAACCGGCCUGGGUGCAGCGGUGAGCACUGACACCCCCAUAAAGGAGACUCUGUGCAGCACAGGGACACUGGCCUGGAUGCAGCGGUGAGCACUGACACCCCCAUAAAGGAGACUCUGUGCAGCACAGGGACACCGGCCUGGGUGCAGCGGUGAGCACUGACACCCCCAUAAAGGAGACUCUGUGCAGCACAGGGACACCGGCCUGGAUGCAGCAGUGAGCACUGACGCCCCCACAAUCAAAUGCAGAUGCCCAGGCUGCCUCGCCUCUCUGCCUCUCUCCAAUUCUCCAGCAUCACAGUCCCUCGUGUCAGCUACUGACUCCUGGGCGUGCAGCCCUCUGUGGGCAUCGUGCGUGGGGCCUGUGUCCCUGACGUGACGCCAUGACUGUCUGCGCCAUCCAGGUCCUCCGCCCUGGCCUCUGGUCCCACUGAGCCCUUUCCAGAGCGCACUCUCUUCUGUCACUGCUGUGUGAACUCACCCCACUCCCAGCAAGCCCUCAGCUGUUACAGCCCAGUAAAAAAAAGAAUUUCUGGCCGGGAGCGGUGGCUCAAGCCUGUAAUCCCAGCACUUUGGGAGGCCGAGAUGGAUGGAUCACGAGGUCGAGAGAUCGAGACCAUCCUGGUCAACAUGUUUACAAGACAGUCUUUUACAGAUUAUCAUCAGGCAUCCUGCAAGAAAGCUACCAACUACGUCUCAAAGGGUUACAGAAUCAACGACUAUGGAAACCCAAAUAACAGUAUUCUCUGAAGAGAAACUUACCAGAGGAGACAGGAAAGGAGAAAUAUGCCAUUCCGGAUUAUUUAAGUAUUCAACAGUGCUUUGCUAUUAAUUUGGAAUUAUUAUAAAUGAGGAAAUAAAAGCCACCAGGUAAUUCAAAGACAAUGGCGUUUUAAUUAGUCUACUGGCUUUACAGUUUGGGUUAAACACUUGGUAACUAACAAUAUUUGUUGAGGGGAUCUUGGAAUGGUUUCUUAAAUCAUGUGAGACAAGCUCAACACUUGAGCAGCUUAGCUGUGGAUAAAAGCUGUCAUUCGUCAUAACCAUGAACAACAGACUAUCCAAGGGUCUGGGAUUUAUUCUUGGCUCUGCCACGUGACUUGGCAAAGUAUGAAAACAGUUUGGUUUCAACUUUAGCUUCUGCAUCUAUCCAAGCUAGGACGCUGCCAUCUGAUAGACAUCUCUUGCCAAUUGUAUUGGGAUUUUAAAUACAACAAUAAAUUCACAUUGGCCCUGUCACUUUCACUUGAUCUAAAUAU
Callithrix jacchus (white-tufted-ear marmoset) is the source of this 1468-nucleotide non-coding RNA. NCBI's taxonomy places the organism in Eukaryota, Metazoa, Chordata, Mammalia, Primates, Cebidae. The record is from RefSeq and is a predicted model, not a curated record.